Molecule: ribosomal RNA, 776 nt
Filed under: uncultured Neocallimastigales
Lineage: Eukaryota; Fungi; Neocallimastigomycota; Neocallimastigomycetes; Neocallimastigales
Description: partial large subunit ribosomal RNA
Rfam family: Eukaryotic large subunit ribosomal RNA
Source: RNAcentral
GAGACUCUGUGCGCGUGCAUAUCAAUAAGCGGAGGAAAAGAAACUAACAAGGAUUCCCCUAGUAACGGCGAGUGAAGCGGGAAGAGCUCAAAUUUGAAAUCUUAAAGGGUUUCCCUUUACGAAUUGUAGUUUAAAGAAGUGUUUUCUGUUGGAGUUUCGGUAAAAGUUCUUUGGAAUAGGACAUCAUAGAGGGUGAGAAUCCCGUAUUUGACCGUUACUUUCCAGCUGUGUGAUACACUUUCAAAGAGUCGGAUUGUUUGGGAAUGCAGUCCAAAAUGGGUGGUAAAUUUCAUCUAAAGCUAAAUAUUGGCGAGAGACCGAUAGCGAACAAGUACCGUGAGGGAAAGAUGAAAAGAACUUUGAAAAGAGAGUUAAACAGUACGUGAAAUUGUCAAAAGGGAAGCGUUUGACACCAGUGUUGUUUAGUUGAAAAUCAAUUCAAUAAUUUUUGAUUUUGAGUAGUAUUGACUUCAUCAGCUUGCUGCUUUCUUUUCGGAAAUUAUUGAAUGCACUUUUCAGUUAACAAGUCAACAUCAAUUUCUUUUGUUGUAAAAGGGUAAGAGGAAGGUGGCUUACGCUUCGGCGUAAGUGUUUAUAGCCUUUUACCUCUGCAAUCGGAGAGAUUGAGGUCAGCAGCGUAGACUCCUUCGGGGUUAGAUACACUUGUGCUAAGCUAUAGCCUUGUAUAGACAACUUGUUGACUAUGCUCAGUCAUGUAGCUUACUCGCUUAUGCUAUUUUACCUACGCUUAGGAUGUUGAACUCUAUCACACACAG